GAUGAACGCUGGCGGCGUGCCUAAUACAUGCAAGUCGAGCGAACAGACGAGGAGCUUGCUCCUUCGACGUUAGCGGCGGACGGGUGAGUAACACGUAGGGAACCUACCUAUAAGACUGGGAUAACUUCGGGAAACCGGAGCUAAUACCGGAUAAUAUUUCGAACCGCAUGGUUAGAUAGUGAAAGAUGGCUUUGCUAUCACUUAUAGAUGGACCUGCGCCGUAUUAGCUAGUUGGUAAGGUAACGGCUUACCAAGGCAACGAUACGUACCCGACCUGAGAGGGUGAUCGGCCACACUGGAACUGAGACACGGUCCAGACUCCUACGGGAGGCCGCAGUCGGGACUCUUCCGCAAUGGGCGAAAGCCUGACGGAGCAACGCCGCGUGAGUGAUGAAGGUCUUCGGAUCGUAAAACUCUGUUAUUAGGGAAGACCAAACGUGUAAGUAACUGUGCACGUCUUGACGGUACCUUAUCAGAAAGCCACGGCUAACUACGUG
Molecule: ribosomal RNA, 497 nt
Filed under: uncultured bacterium
Lineage: Bacteria
Description: partial 16S ribosomal RNA
Rfam family: Bacterial small subunit ribosomal RNA
Source: RNAcentral